CUAACCCCCUUCUUAGGCCACAACUGCAGCCGCUGGCUCCACCCAGCCCUGAAAACCUCUUCCUGACGUCAGGUUACACCCUUAAUUUUCACCUGUACUCUAAGGAAGGGGCCUCGUUUGCUGUUGCAUUAUGGGAACUGUAGUGUUCUUUUCCACGCAUGUUUAUGGGGUGGUGGUUUAUUCUGAAACGCUGUUUCUCUAGGGAUCCUGGAUGGCAGACGUGUAACUCGGCGUGACGAUGUGAUCAGAGAAACAUGGGCUCCCUGCUGUCUGCGUUUGGAAUUAACGUGAAGGAA
This is a long non-coding RNA of Sinocyclocheilus grahami, 296 nucleotides long. RefSeq lists it as uncharacterized. NCBI's taxonomy places the organism in Eukaryota, Metazoa, Chordata, Actinopteri, Cypriniformes, Cyprinidae. The record is from RefSeq and is a predicted model, not a curated record. The transcript has 2 exons.